GACGAACGCUGGCGGCGUGCUUAACACAUGCAAGUCGAGCGGUAAGGCCCUUUCGGGGGUACACGAGCGGCGAACGGGUGAGUAACACGUGGGUGACCUGCCCUCAGCUCUGGGAUAAGCCUGGGAAACCGGGUCUAAUACUGGAUAUGACUCCAUGACGCAUGUUGUGGGGUGGAAAGCCUUGUGCGGCUGAGGAUGGGCCCGCGGCCUAUCAGCUUGUUGGUGGGGUGANGGCCUACCAAGGCGACGACGGGUAGCCGACCUGAGAGGGCGACCGGCCACACUGGGACUGAGACACGGCCCAGACUCCUACGGGAGGCAGCAGUGGGGAAUCUUGCGCAAUGGGCGAAAGCCUGACGCAGCGACGCCGCGUGA
This 375-nucleotide ribosomal RNA is filed under the name uncultured bacterium. RNAcentral's name for it is "bacterial SSU rRNA". It matches the Rfam family "Bacterial small subunit ribosomal RNA", at positions 28 to 404 of the family's 1533-position model. The record is from RNAcentral.